RNAcentral lists this microRNA precursor (105 nucleotides) under Canis lupus familiaris (dog). RNAcentral describes it as "mir-8834 microRNA precursor family". It matches the Rfam family "mir-8834 microRNA precursor family". The record is from Rfam by way of RNAcentral. Lineage: Eukaryota; Metazoa; Chordata; Mammalia; Carnivora; Canidae.
AGGAGGAACAACCGCAGUGGCGGGGCCAGCUCUGGAGCCCUGGAAUCAGCCCCCACAGUAACUCCGGAGCUCUCCGUCUGCAGGGCCUGGAGGCUCCGGGGCGGG